UAUUUAUCAAACAAAGCAUCCAUCUGUGGCAGAAAAGAAAAAUGCUCCGAAAUUGGAGUUUAUCAGGAAGGAUAUGCAAUGUACUUGGUGGUUAAAUAUCAAAGAAGGGCAAGGAUGCACAAAGAAAGAUAAAACAUUGUUGAUGGUUUGCAAACUGCGAGUACCAUUGGAAUGACAAACCAAAUCAUAAAAGCCCUAUUUGCUAAUGAUGACAACAUUUACAGUAGACAUUGCAAGCUGAUCAAUAUUUCUAUCGUUUAAAAUGCAACAUUGAUAAAUAGGCAGCUAUGUACAUAACUGGCAUCUGAAUAAUCUUCUGAAAAGCCAUCUUUCGAAUAUCUUGAUGGUCGAAUAAAGUUGUGCAGCUUCAUAGAAACCAAGGAGAGCAUCAACCACUGGUAUGAUCCUCUAUCCCUUCCUCAUUCUAUCAUCCAUCGCUUCAAAGACUUAACCAUUGCCUAAGCACUACUUUUCUUGCCUUCAGCUCCAAGAGCCCAGUGAGGCAUAGCACGAGUGCGCCUUAUUGCCUUCACUCCUAACGGGUUGUCCUUGCCCAUUAAGCAGGUUCCCUGGUUAACGUUGCAGAUGGGAUAGUCAUGUGGGCAGCAACUAUAAUGGUCAUCACAGCAGGUAGCACCCUCAAGUGGGCAGCAUCCCCAUUCAAAACAGAAGUUGGCAUACUCAAAGAUGCAGCAACAAGUGUUGCUCUCAGGACAGCUAAAGUAGUUGUCACAAACGCUAGGAGGCUUUACAGGAGAUGGAGGAGAUGGACCAGGGUUGGGGGGAUUUUGGCCUUUCUUGAUAGGGUAAGAAGCCUCCAUCGCAAUUCCACAUAUCCCUGUUGGCUUCCUAAUAUUUCGAGCCAUCCUGAGAUAGCCACUCUCUCCCCAGCUUUUACCCCACGAGUUCCUGACAAUCCAAUAAUCUUGUCCAUUUUCUGUGCCAUAACCCACUGCAACAACACCAUGGUCCAGUGCCGUCCCACAUCUUCCCGAAAAAACGCCCGAUGAGUACAACUGGAAAUCCCUGCCACCUGCUUCAAUUGCAACACUCACUGGCUGAUUUGCGACAGCCUUCUGUAGUGCCGCCUCAUUAUUCACAGGAACAUCUUCAUAACUAUCAAUUGAAACAACCCUUGCAUUUUUCCUGUAUGUGUCGCAUCUGCCAUCACGAGCAAGAUAAGGGUAAUCUUCUUCAGAGUCAAUGCCACCAUUGUUGAUGAUAAACUCAAAGCCAUAGUCCAUGAGACCUCCAUUACAUCCUUCAUUAUAAGAGUUAUCACAAUCCACCAAUUCCUGCUCAGAUAGAGAGAUCAGGUCGCCAGUAACGAUCUUGUUGAUCCCUUCCACAGCAGCAACGGCUGAGAAAGCCCAGCAGCUCCCUUCAUAUCAAAAGUUGAAUGUCAGCAAUUUGCGCAUAUUACAAAGAUUUGUUUUUAUUAAUAAGAACUAGUAUUACAGUUCAAACCUUUCAAAUGCUUAAACUUGUAUCCUUUCUCCAAGCUUCUAGCUAUAGUCAGAGUUUGUCAUAAUAUUGAUUGAUUAAUCAAAGAAUAAGAAAUAUCUAGGUGUGAGGUGCGACUAAGAAAUAUCUCAGGUGUGAGGUGUCACUCCCAAUUAUUGAUGUUAUGUUAAUUAUAAUGCUUAGGCUUGGGUUUGGUGGGUUCAGAAAUUUCCCAUGGGUGCUUUUCACCCUUCAGAACUAAAGGCCAAACCUUUUGCACCCCAUAUUGAUUUGGCCAUAGGAGUGAGGUGCCAGACCAUUUGCACUGCCUUAUGUUGGAAGUAAGUAAAGUUCCACUCUAUUAUCAGUUGUAAUUGGCACUUUUUUAUCACCCAAAAAGGCCGUCCACCGAAAGGAAACCAACAUAGAAUUUCUUCAAUUAUCCAAACAAAUAUUGCUUUUUUAUUUUAGAUCAAUUUCACAUCAAUAUCCCCAAACUAUCUGAUCAAAGCAACUUAACCUUAUUUCAGAUUUUCCAGAAUAUUACCUGCUAAUUUUUUUUUCUUAUUAAGCAGUGAGCUGGUGACACUAAUUAAUAAACAAUAUUUGUUAAAAAAUAAUUAAAAUCAAAUUAAAUUUUGAUAAAUUAUUCAUAAACAAGACUCACCACAACUUCCUUGGUCUUUGACACCGACGACGGCACCUUCCUUUCUCCAAUCAACGGAAUCCGGCAAAGAAUCGCCGACACGUGGAGUGUAGCGAUCACUAAUUUUACGCAACUUGUUCCUUCUAAUACCACUCAAAGCACCUAAAUACAUGGACCGGUA
Molecule: unclassified non-coding RNA, 2270 nt
Filed under: Hevea brasiliensis (rubber tree)
Lineage: Eukaryota; Viridiplantae; Streptophyta; Magnoliopsida; Malpighiales; Euphorbiaceae
Source: RNAcentral